Molecule: long non-coding RNA, 687 nt
Organism: Suricata suricatta (meerkat)
Lineage: Eukaryota; Metazoa; Chordata; Mammalia; Carnivora; Herpestidae
Exons: 3
Source: RefSeq, a predicted model, not a curated record
GUUAGUGGCUUGCAUGUAGCAGAGUGUAUUAGAGAUGCUGGGAGGUCAUAUUUCAGAUUAGGCUGCAAAAAGACCAUGGCUUCUCAAUUGUGCCUUCCUUGUGUUCAUUCUAAGAGAAGCCAGCUGCUCUGCUUGACAAGGAACUGAGAGAGGCCUUUAGCCAAUAGACAGUAAGGAAGUGACAUCCUCAGUCCAACAGCCUCCGAGGAACUGAAUUCUGACAACUACAUGAGUAAGUUUAGAAGUGGAUCCUUUCCUAAUCAAGACUUCAGAGAUGAAAGCACCAGCCAACAAUUUGGUCACAGACUCUGAGAGAUCUUGAACCAGAAGGAUUAUCCAAGCCUCAUCCAGAUUCCGGAUGCACCAUAGUUGUGAGGAGUUGAUACCAAGGAUAAUCCUUACUAAGCCUCCCAACCACUGAAAUUGUCCAGUUCUGCUUCUUCUGAAAAUUACCUACGGAAAUGGAGGAUCAAUUAAUUCUAAUAACUGGUUGUCUUUUUUUCAUCCAUUUCAUGGAAUCAAAGUGAAGCUCUUGGAAGUUCAUUUUGUCAUACUGUGUUUGCUAUUGUUAGUGCACUUAAGAAGUUCACCAUUAAAGACCUUUGGAUUCGGACUGAAUUUCACAACCAACUUUCCUGGGCAUCCAGUUUGCAGAUGGAAAUCUUGGGACUUCUCAGUCUCAGCCAC